UGGCUCAGUUAGUAGAGCAUGGUGUUUGCAAUGCCAGGGUUGUGGGUUCGUUUCCCAC
Molecule: transfer RNA, 58 nt
Filed under: Salmo salar (Atlantic salmon)
Lineage: Eukaryota; Metazoa; Chordata; Actinopteri; Salmoniformes; Salmonidae
Rfam family: tRNA
About the family: Transfer RNA (tRNA) molecules are approximately 80 nucleotides in length. Their secondary structure includes four short double-helical elements and three loops (D, anti-codon, and T loops). Further hydrogen bonds mediate the characteristic L-shaped molecular structure. tRNAs have two regions of fundamental functional importance: the anti-codon, which is responsible for specific mRNA codon recognition, and the 3' end, to which the tRNAs corresponding amino acid is attached (by aminoacyl-tRNA synthetases). tRNAs cope with the degeneracy of the genetic code in two manners: having more than one tRNA (with a specific anti-codon) for a particular amino acid; and 'wobble' base-pairing, i.e. permitting non-standard base-pairing at the 3rd anti-codon position.
Source: Rfam by way of RNAcentral